GUCCACGCCGUAAACGAUGAGAACUAGAUGUUAGGGGGCUUGUCCUCUUAGUAUUGCAGCUAACGCGUUAAGUUCUCCGCCUGGGGAGUACGGCCGCAAGGUUAAAACUCAAAGGAAUUGACGGGGGCCCGCACAAGCGGUGGAGCAUGUGGUUUAAUUCGAUGCAACGCGAAAAACCUUACCUACCUUUGAAUCCACAGAAUCUUCUAGAGAUAGAGGAGUGCCUUCGGGAACUGUGAGACAGAUGCUGCAUGGCUGUCGU
This 262-nucleotide ribosomal RNA is filed under the name uncultured bacterium. RNAcentral's name for it is "partial 16S ribosomal RNA". It matches the Rfam family "Bacterial small subunit ribosomal RNA", at positions 793 to 1055 of the family's 1533-position model. The record is from RNAcentral.